Molecule: unclassified non-coding RNA, 288 nt
Filed under: Hevea brasiliensis (rubber tree)
Lineage: Eukaryota; Viridiplantae; Streptophyta; Magnoliopsida; Malpighiales; Euphorbiaceae
Source: RNAcentral
UUUAAGACAAUUUUUAAAAAAAAUAUUAUUUUAUUAAAUUCACACUGUCAUGUCAGCAAAAUUAACAGUGUUAAAGCAUUUGUCCUUAAAGUGCUAAUGGAGUAAAGCUCAUGGCACCAUUUUGUCAAAAAUUGAACCCCAUGCCCUGAAACAUCAAACAUGAAACCUCAUGGUACUUUUUAUGCUUUCCCCUAGAUAAUUUCCACAUUGGAGGAAGCUUGGGUAAGCAAUAUGGAGAAGAAUGUGCCAACUUUUACUGGUCUAUUGUUAAGAUCAGAUCUGAAUUAA